AGAGUUUGAUCCUGGCUCAGAUUGAACGCUGGCGGCAUGCCUUACACAUGCAAGUCGAACGGCAGCACGGGAGCAAUCCUGGUGGCGAGUGGCGAACGGGUGAGUAAUAUAUCGGAACGUGCCCAGUCGUGGGGGAUAACGCAGCGAAAGCUGUGCUAAUACCGCAUACGAUCUCUGGAUGAAAGCGGGGGACUCGCAAGGGCCUCGCGCGAUUGGAGCGGCCGAUAUCAGAUUAGCUAGUUGGUGGGGUAAAAGCUCACCAAGGCGACGAUCUGUAGCUGGUCUGAGAGGAUGAUCAGCCACACUGGAACUGAGACACGGACCAGACUCCUACGGGAGGCAGCAGUGAGGAAUAUUGCACAAUGGGGGGAACCCUGAUGCAGCAACGCCGCGUGGAGGAUGACGCAUUUCGGUGUGUAAACUCCUUUUAUAUGUCAAGAAAAUGACGGUAGCAUAUGAAUAAGCACCGGCUAACUCCGUGCCAGCAGCCGCGGUAAUACGGAGGGUGCAAGCGUUACUCGGAAUCACUGGGCGUAAAGGACGCGUAGGCUGGUUAGAAAGUCAGGUGUGAAAGCCUACAGCUCAACUGUAGAACUGCACUUGAAACUUCUAAUCUAGAGUAUGGGAGGGGGAGAUGGAAUUAGUGGUGUAGGGGUAAAAUCCGUAGAGAUCACUAGGAAUACCAAAAGCGAAGGCGAUCUUCUGGAACAGUACUGACGCUGAGGCGCGAAAGCGUGGGGAGCAAACAGGAUUAGAUACCCUGGUAGUCCACGCCCUAAACGAUGAAUGUUAGUCGUCGGAUAGCUAGUCUAUUCGGUGAUGCAGUUAACACAUUAAACAUUCCGCCUGGGGAGUACGGUCGCAAGAUUAAAACUCAAAGGAAUAGACGGGGACCCGCACAAGUGGUGGAGCAUGUGGUUUAAUUCGAAGAUACGCGAAGAACCUUACCUGGCCUUGACAUUGAUAGAAUCCGCUAGAGAUAGUGGAGUGCCUUUCGGGGAACUUGAAAACAGGUGCUGCACGGCUGUCGUCAGCUCGUGUCGUGAGAUGUUGGGUUAAGUCCCGCAACGAGCGCAACCCUCGUUCUUAGUUACUAACGGUUCGGCCGAGGACUCUAAGAAGACUGCCUUCGCAAGGAGGAGGAAGGUGAGGACGACGUCAAGUCAUCAUGGCCCUUACGGCCAGGGCAACACACGUGCUACAAUGGCCGGUACAAAGGGUAGCAAGACCGCGAGGUGGAGCCAAUCCCAAAAAGCCGGUCUCAGUUCGGAUUGGAGUCUGCAACUCGACUCCAUGAAGUUGGAAUCGCUAGUAAUCGUGGAUCAGCAUGCCACGGUGAAUACGUUCCCGGGCCUUGUACACACCGCCCGUCACACCACGGGAGUCGAUUGUACCUGAAAUCGGUGGGCUAACCUUCGGGAGGCAGCCGCUUAUGGUAUGGUCGGUAACUGGGGUGAAGUCGUAACAAGGUAACC
Molecule: ribosomal RNA, 1475 nt
Filed under: uncultured bacterium
Lineage: Bacteria
Description: partial 16S ribosomal RNA
Rfam family: Bacterial small subunit ribosomal RNA
Source: RNAcentral